Molecule: transfer RNA, 83 nt
Filed under: Actinomycetota bacterium
Lineage: Bacteria; Bacillati; Actinomycetota
Description: tRNA-Leu
Rfam family: tRNA
About the family: Transfer RNA (tRNA) molecules are approximately 80 nucleotides in length.
Source: RNAcentral
GCCCGGGUGGUGGAAUGGCAUACACGGCGGUCUCAAACACCGCUGCCCGAAAGGGCUUGCGGGUUCGAAUCCCGCCCCGGGCA